UGUUGGAUGUUUACAAAAUUCUUGAAAGUUUCCUACCAUAAAUCAUCUGUUGUGAGGAUUUAAGUUCAUGUUUGAUAUAGAAAACUAUAAUUUUAAAAUUCUACGAGAUGAUAGAUUCCUACCAUAUAAGAAGUAUGGAUUGUGAGGAUCUAAGUUCAUGCUUUAUGGUAGGAAUCUAUUGUUUAAAAUUUUUCAGAAUUUUG
This 203-nucleotide long non-coding RNA is filed under the name Trifolium pratense (red clover). RNAcentral's name for it is "long non-coding RNA (TPRA_LNC001657)". The record is from RNAcentral. Lineage: Eukaryota; Viridiplantae; Streptophyta; Magnoliopsida; Fabales; Fabaceae.